This 114-nucleotide ribosomal RNA is filed under the name uncultured eukaryote. Its description in RNAcentral is "partial small subunit ribosomal RNA". The record is from RNAcentral.
GGRUUUCACCAGAAGUAGGURGCYUAACCGCAAGGAGGGCGCUUACCACGGUGGGRUUCAUGACUGGGGUGAAGUCGUAACAAGGUAGCCGUAGGUGAACCUGCAGAAGGAUCA